RNAcentral lists this long non-coding RNA (297 nucleotides) under Lynx canadensis (Canada lynx). RNAcentral's name for it is "lncRNA (ENSLCNG00005007233.1)". Lineage: Eukaryota; Metazoa; Chordata; Mammalia; Carnivora; Felidae. The record is from RNAcentral.
ACAGUGUAGCGCUCUCCUUUUUUUUUUUUUUUCAGCUGCCUGGAAGAUGAGUCUUGUCAUUACGCUUCCUUCUCACAGAAGCCCAGAAACUUCAUCUGUGUGCGGCUCUGACACUUUGGAGAAUUAACCUCCCCAAGAUUUUAAAACCACCACCCAGUACCUUCGCCCUUGAACCUACAUGCCACAAGAGCUCAGCAACAUUAACACUAAAACCUUGGGAGAUUUAUGUGGCUGACCCUGGACUACCAGUGGGUGAGUCACUGUAUCCGAUGAUCCAUGAUCCGUCUUCAGGAAAGU